RNAcentral lists this transfer RNA (72 nucleotides) under Felis catus (domestic cat). It matches the Rfam family "tRNA". From Rfam's summary of the family: Transfer RNA (tRNA) molecules are approximately 80 nucleotides in length. Their secondary structure includes four short double-helical elements and three loops (D, anti-codon, and T loops). The record is from Rfam by way of RNAcentral. Lineage: Eukaryota; Metazoa; Chordata; Mammalia; Carnivora; Felidae.
GCCAGCCUGGCUCAGUCAGUAAAGCAUGAGACUCUUGAUUUCAGGGCCUGAGUUCAAACCCCAGGUUGGGCU